RNAcentral lists this unclassified non-coding RNA (377 nucleotides) under fungal sp. RNAcentral describes it as "partial internal transcribed spacer region". The stretch from base 1 to 46 matches the Rfam family "Eukaryotic small subunit ribosomal RNA", at positions 1786 to 1831 of the family's 1831-position model. The record is from RNAcentral. Lineage: Eukaryota; Fungi.
AAGUCGUAACAAGGUAACCGUAGGUGAACCUGCGGUUGGAUCAUCUGAUUAAGCGGGUGGCACACGCAGUGUGACACUCAUGUCGCACUACCGGUGCACGGAGUGUGACGGACACUUGUGACACACGCAAGUGUUGCAAGUGGCACACGCAGUGUGACGCUCGCUUUUGAAAAAGAGUGACCCCUUGCAGUUGAUCUACUAUCACGUCAAUCACGUGAUCAACGACCAUCUGCAAAUCACUCAUCAACACAAAUCCAGCGAACCUAAACAUUCUCCUCUCCCGAAAGAAGAGGGAAACAAAAAGACAAUCUAUAAACCAACAAUCACUCAAAAAGACAAAGAAUGGACAACUUUUGACAAUGGAUCUCUUGGUUCUC